This 459-nucleotide ribosomal RNA is filed under the name uncultured bacterium. Its description in RNAcentral is "partial 16S ribosomal RNA". It matches the Rfam family "Bacterial small subunit ribosomal RNA", at positions 338 to 795 of the family's 1533-position model. The record is from RNAcentral.
CCUACGGGAUGCAGCAGUGAGGAAUAUUGGUCAAUGGCCGCAGGGCUGAACCAGCCAAGUCGCGUGAGGGAUGACGGUCCUAUGGAUUGUAAACCUCUUUUGUCAGGGAGCAAAGGGCGCCACGUGUGGCGCUUUGCGAGUACCUGAAGAAAAAGCAUCGGCUAACUCCGUGCCAGCAGCCGCGGUAAUACGGAGGAUGCGAGCGUUAUCCGGAUUUAUUGGGUUUAAAGGGUGCGCAGGCGGAAUGUCAAGUCAGCGGUAAAAUUUCGGGGCUCAACCCCGUCGUGCCGUUGAAACUGGCGUUCUUGAGUGAGCGAGAAGUAUGCGGAAUGCGUGGUGUAGCGGUGAAAUGCAUAGAUAUCACGCAGAACUCCGAUUGCGAAGGCAGCAUACCGGCGCUCAACUGACGCUCAUGCACGAAAGCGUGGGUAUCGAACAGGAUUAGAUACCCCAGUAGUC